AACAACUGACUUGGGUACGAUUCCUUUAACAUCCCGACUUGGGAACGAACUCCGCUGCACCUACAUCAAUCCUAGCCGGCUUCAAGAUGCCACGCGGACGCGAAGUGGAGGACCGCGACCCCAGAUGGCCAUGACGUCGUCCUUCGGCCCUGCUUCACUGGGGCGUGGUCUUUCAGUGUCGAGCAGCCUCAGGUGGGAGGCAUUGAGGGGCGCGUGGCUCUGGUGUUGCGCACCGGUGGCGGCAGCCAGCAUCGGCAGUAAGCUCAUGGUUUUCAUCCCCUCCCUGUCUUCCCCUUUGACUCUCUCAUACUCUGAACCGUCCGCCACAUGGACACCAACGCACAGGCAGUAGUGCAUCGAGGAAGUAGCAGUUACAGACCGCCAUUCGAGUUCCUCUACAAGCAGCAGUUGGACAAUAGUUAAUUGGUGCUCUCCCCAUCACCCAUUGUUGCAGUUCUUCAGCAGCAGCUAGUUGUCGGCCCUGUGGCAGUUAUUAUUUGGUUGUGGGGCAGUUAGAGAAAAAUAGUUAGCUGUGUUAAAUCAAAACGUUAACUGAUAUAUUGACCUUGUUAACUGCACAACUUUGCCCUCGUUGUCUCUUCAGUCAAAUUUAUUUUAGCGAUUUCUGUUAGAUUGUUGAUUUUCAUCCAUUGGUGCGUUGAAAACAAAAGAAGUUAACUUUUUUUUCUUCUGUAACAGUUAACUAUGGAAUUUGCAUAAGUUAUUAAAAACGGGAAAAGUUAACCCAUCGGGCUGCUGUUGUCACCAUGAUGUCGGUGCCACACAAUCUGAUGCUCUUGCUGUUAAAAACAAAUGCAGUUAACUUCAGUUAAUCUGAUGCUCUUGCAGAAGCGCCGGCAAGGACAUCUCAUCAUCGAUGAUGCUGUCCAUCACCAGAGUCAACCGGGUUCGUCGGACGCAGGCUC
RNAcentral lists this long non-coding RNA (926 nucleotides) under Triticum aestivum (bread wheat). Its description in RNAcentral is "long non-coding RNA (TAES_LNC003125)". Lineage: Eukaryota; Viridiplantae; Streptophyta; Magnoliopsida; Poales; Poaceae. The record is from RNAcentral.